GUUGUUGGGUAGGGGAGCGUUCUGUAAGCCGUCGAAGGUGUGCUGUGAGGCAUGCUGGAGGUAUCAGAAGUGCGAAUGCUGACAUAAGUAACGAUAAAGCGGGUGAAAAGCCCGCUCGCCGGAAGACCAAGGGUUCCUGUUCAACGUUAAUCGGAGCAGGGUGAGUCGACCCCUAAGGCGAGGCCGAAAGGCGUAGUCGAUGGGAAACAGGUUAAUAUUCCUGUACUCGGUGUUACUGCGAAGGGGGGACGGAGAAGGCUAUAUCGGCCGGGCGACGGUUGUCCCGGUUUAAGCGUGUAGGCGGAG
RNAcentral lists this ribosomal RNA (306 nucleotides) under Pantoea agglomerans. Its description in RNAcentral is "partial 23S ribosomal RNA". It matches the Rfam family "Bacterial large subunit ribosomal RNA", at positions 1220 to 1529 of the family's 2925-position model. Lineage: Bacteria; Pseudomonadati; Pseudomonadota; Gammaproteobacteria; Enterobacterales; Erwiniaceae. The record is from RNAcentral.